GGCGAACGGGUGCGUAACGCGUAUGCAACUUACCUUUUACUAGAGAAUAGCCAAGAGAAAUUUUGAUUAAUGCUCUAUGUUCUUAUUUACUCGCAUGAGUAAAUAAGCAAAGCUCCGGCGGUAAAAGAUGGGCAUGCGUCCUAUUAGCUUGUAGGUGAGGUAAUGGCUCACCUAAGCUCCGAUAGGUAGGGGUCCUGAGAGGGAGAUCCCCCACACUGGUACUGAGACACGGACCAGACUUCUACGGAAGGCAGCAGUAAGGAAUAUUGGACAAUGGAGACAACUCUGAUCCAGCCAUGCCGCGUGAAGGAAGACGGCCUUAUGGGUUGUAAACUUCUUUUAUACAGGAAGAAACCUUUCCACGUGUGGAAAGUUGACGGUACUGUAAGAAUAAGGAUCGGCUAACUCCGUGCCAGCAGCCGCGGUAAUACGGAGGAUCCAAGCGUUAUCCGGAAUUAUUGGGUUUAAAGGGUCCGCAGGCUGUUUGUUAAGUCAGAGGUGAAAUCCUACCGCUCAACGGUAGAACUGCCUUUGAUACUGGCAAACUUGAGUUAUUGUGAAGUAGUUAGAAUGUGUAGUGUAGCGGUGAAAUGCAUAGAUAUUACACAGAAUACCGAUUGCGAAAGCAGAUUACUAACAAUAUACUGACGCUGAGGGACGAAAGCGUGGGUAGCGAACAGGAUUAGAUACCCUGGUAGUCCACGCCGUAAACGAUGGUCACUAGCUGUUCGAUGUACAUUGGUACGUUGAGUGGCUAAGCGAAAGUGAUAAGUGACC
Molecule: ribosomal RNA, 777 nt
Filed under: uncultured marine bacterium
Lineage: Bacteria
Description: bacterial SSU rRNA
Rfam family: Bacterial small subunit ribosomal RNA
Source: RNAcentral